Pseudophryne corroboree (corroboree frog) is the source of this 419-nucleotide long non-coding RNA. RefSeq lists it as uncharacterized. Lineage: Eukaryota; Metazoa; Chordata; Amphibia; Anura; Myobatrachidae. The transcript is spliced from 3 exons. The record is from RefSeq and is a predicted model, not a curated record.
AGCAUCCUCCCCUUCAUCCUGCGCCAGCUCCAAGUCAUCAGCAUUAUCUGCUUCACCAACUUGCUCUUCCUGUCACACAAACAAAAGCCACAGAUCAGACUUUGGACAAAAGAAGACAGGACAAAUGGCCUGAUUCAGAGAAGUACGCAAAGCUGAUGUUUCGCAGAACUGAGCAAUUAUCAACACACUGCGCAUGUGCUGCGUUCGCAUUGUACAUGCAUCAAGAUAUCCUGGUUACUUUAAAACAUGCAUGUGAUAGCUUGGAGGUUCCCACCAAGAUCCCCAGCUCUUGACGAGGAAUGGACACCACGUCUUGUGGGCACUGGACGACAGAUUUGCUAAACCGCAUAGUGUGUAGAAUUAUUGUCUGCUUUUAACAAAGCUUUUCUGUCCUCCUGUGUCCAGGUAGUCAGUUUGCU